AUGGAGCUGGCACCAGGAAAGCCCCGACCCGGCCCGUUAAGCGCCAGGACAAGCGGCGCCCCUGAGACAGGCGACCUGGAGUCUCAGGAUCCUGCUCUUCAGGAGAUGGUGAGGGCACCACUCCUUCCCCCAGAGGAGGGCCGGGUGGAGAAUCUUUUGUUUCCUUUAAGUUUUGUUCUGCCACUGGCUCCCCAGCCAGUGGUACCCAAACAUUCAAUAAAAGAGCAGUUUCCUGUUUCUCUGGGUCUCAAGAGGGCCAGCAUGGCGGUACUCCAGGCACAGCCUCUACACUCCCGUCCCCCUCUCCUUUCGCCAGCGGGCAGCAGGGGCUGGUUCAAGGAUGCUCUGAAACAGUUUCAGAGGCUCCUGGGGCAUAUGGCAUCCACUGCCGAUGUCACGCCAUUCGGAUUGAUACAUAUGAGACCACUUCAGCGUUGGCUUCACGAUCGAGUCCCGAGAUGGGCAUGGCAACGCGGCAUGCACCAGGUCUUGGUUAUCCCAUCCUGCCACCAAACCUUCAGCCCAUGGUCGGACCAUGCUUUUCUAGGGGCAGGGGUACCCCUAGUGCAACUGUCCAGGAAUCUUGUUGUUUCAACAGAUGCCUCUGCUAUCGACUGGGGUGCCAGGUGCAACGGAAAUGCAGCAUCAGGUACCUCGACAGGGCCUCGUCUGCACUGGCAUAUCAAUUACCUAGAGUUGCUGGCAGUAUGGCUUGCUCUGCGCCGCUUCAAAACGUGGCUUCACGACAGGCACAAACUGGUCCGGAUGGACAAUACUGCGACCGUUGCAUACAUCAACCACCAGGGCAGUCUACGCUCCCGUUGCAUGUCGCAACUCGCCCGCCAUCUCCUCCUUUGGAGUCAGAAGCAUCUGAGGUCGCUCUGUGCCGUUCACGUCCCAUGCGAGCUCAAUCGUGCAGCCGACAAGUGCUCAUGUCAGCCCGCCCUUCCGGGAGAAUGGCGACUCCACCCCGAGACAGUCCAUCUGAUCUGGAGACGUUUCACGUAG
Molecule: long non-coding RNA, 1008 nt
Organism: Cyprinus carpio (common carp)
Lineage: Eukaryota; Metazoa; Chordata; Actinopteri; Cypriniformes; Cyprinidae
Source: Ensembl